Molecule: ribosomal RNA, 399 nt
Filed under: uncultured Oscillibacter sp.
Lineage: Bacteria; Bacillati; Bacillota; Clostridia; Eubacteriales; Oscillospiraceae
Description: bacterial SSU rRNA
Rfam family: Bacterial small subunit ribosomal RNA
Source: RNAcentral
UAGGGAAUAUUGCACAAUGGGGGAAACCCUGAUGCAGCAACGCCGCGUGAAGGAAGACGGUCUUCGGAUUGUAAACUUUUGUUCUUGGUGAAGAAGAAUGACGGUAGCCAAGGAGGAAGCCACGGCUAACUACGUGCCAGCAGCCGCGGUAAUACGUAGGUGGCAAGCGUUGUCCGGAAUUACUGGGUGUAAAGGGAGCGCAGGCGGGAAAUCAAGUUGGAUGUGAAAUGUCGGGGCUUAACCUCGGAACUGCAUUUGAAACUGUUGGUCUUGAGUAUCGGAGAGGUCAUCGGAAUUCCUUGUGUAGCGGUGAAAUGCGUAGAUAUAAGGAAGAACACCAGUGGCGAAGGCGGAUGACUGGACGACAACUGACGGUGAGGCGCGAAAGCGUGGGGAGCG